UCAGGCCUAACACAUGCAAGUCGAGCGGACAGAAGGGAGCUUGCUCCCGGAUGCUAGCGGCGGACGGGUGAGUAACACGUGGGUAACCUGCCUGUAAGACUGGGAUAACUCCGGGAAACCGGAGCUAAUACCGGAUAGUUCCUUGAACCGCAUGGUUCAAGGAUGAAAGACGGUUUCGGCUGUCACUUACAGAUGGACCCGCGGCGCAUUAGCUAGUUGGUGGGGUAAUGGCUCACCAAGGCGACGAUGCGUAGCCGACCUGAGAGGGUGAUCGGCCACACUGGGACUGAGACACGGCCAAGACUCCUACGGGAGGCAGCAGUAGGGAAUCUUCCGCAAUGGACGAAAGUCUGACGGAGCAACGCCGCGUGAGUGAUGAAGGUUUUCGGAUCGUAAAGCUCUGUUGUUAGGGAAGAACAAGUGCGAGAGUAACUGCUCGCACCUUGACGGUACCUAACCAGAAAGCCACGGCUAACUACGUGCCAGCAGCCGCGGUAAUACGUAGGUGGCAAGCGUUGUCCGGAAUUAUUGGGCGUAAAGGGCUCGCAGGCGGUUUCUUAAGUCUGAUGUGAAAGCCCCCGGCUCAACCGGGGAGGGUCAUUGGAAACUGGGAAACUUGAGUGCAGAAGAGGAGAGUGGAAUUCCACGUG
This 650-nucleotide ribosomal RNA is filed under the name uncultured bacterium. RNAcentral describes it as "bacterial SSU rRNA". It matches the Rfam family "Bacterial small subunit ribosomal RNA", at positions 42 to 675 of the family's 1533-position model. The record is from RNAcentral.